AUCUAGCUCUAGGUCGGGGACAACCACUGGAAACGGUGGCUAAUACCGGAUGUGCCGAAAGGUGAAAGAUUUAUUGCCUAGAGAUGAGCUCGCGUCUGAUUAGCUAGUAGGUGUGGUAAGAGCGCACCUAGGCGACGAUCAGUAGCUGGUCUGAGAGGAUGAUCAGCCACACUGGGACUGAGACACGGCCCAGACUCCUACGGGAGGCAGCAGUGGGGAAUUUUCCGCAAUGGGCGAAAGCCUGACGGAGCAAUACCGCGUGAGGGAGGAAGGCUCUUGGGUUGUAAACCUCUUUUCUCAGGGAAUAAAAAAAUGAAGGUACCUGAGGAAUAAGCAUCGGCUAACUCCGUGCCAGCAGCCGCGGUAAUACGGAGGAUGCAAGCGUUAUCCGGAAUGAUUGGGCGUAAAGGGUCCGCAGGUGGCAAUGUAAGUCUGCUGUUAAAGAAUGAGGCUCAACCUCAUACAAGCAGUGGAAACUACAUAGCUAGAGUGCGUUCGGGGUAGAGGGAAUUCCUGGUGUAGCGGUGAAAUGCGUAGAUAUCAGGAAGAACACCGGUGGCGAAAGCGCUCUACUAGGCCGCAACUGACACUGAGGGACGAAAGCUAGGGGAGCG
Molecule: ribosomal RNA, 614 nt
Filed under: Chlorogloeopsis sp. GSP606-1
Lineage: Bacteria; Bacillati; Cyanobacteriota; Cyanophyceae; Nostocales; Chlorogloeopsidaceae
Description: bacterial SSU rRNA
Rfam family: Bacterial small subunit ribosomal RNA
Source: RNAcentral